Ictidomys tridecemlineatus (thirteen-lined ground squirrel) is the source of this 102-nucleotide unclassified non-coding RNA. NCBI's taxonomy places the organism in Eukaryota, Metazoa, Chordata, Mammalia, Rodentia, Sciuridae. The record is from Ensembl.
AUGUCCUGUGUGGAAGGAUCCCUUUGGGAACUUCUCAGGAGGGGGACCUGGGCCAAGAGCUUGACGUGCCUCAUGGGCAACUCGGGGCCCCUGGUGGGCUUG